This 391-nucleotide ribosomal RNA is filed under the name uncultured bacterium. RNAcentral's name for it is "bacterial SSU rRNA". It matches the Rfam family "Bacterial small subunit ribosomal RNA", at positions 29 to 407 of the family's 1533-position model. The record is from RNAcentral.
AUUGAACGCUGGCGGCAUGCUUUACACAUGCAAGUCGAACGGCAGCGUCGGGGCAACCCUGGCGGCCGAGUGGCGAACCGGGUAGAGUAAUGGCAUCGGAACCGUAAGUCCCUGUAAAUGGGGGGAUAACGGUAGCGAAAGUUACGCUAAUACCGCAUACGCUCGAGAGAGGAAAGUGGGGGGAUCGCAAGACCUCACGUUAUAGGAGCGGCCGAUGUCCGAUUAGCUAGUUGGUGGGGUAAAGGCCUACCAAGGCGACGAUCGGUAGCUGGUCUGAGAGGAUGAUCAGCCACACUGGGACUGAGACACGGCCCAGACUCCUACGGGAGGCAGCAGUGGGGGAAUUUUGGGACAAUGGGCGAAAGCCUGAUCCAGCCAUGCCGCGUGCGGG